UACGUAGGGCGCGAGCGUUGUCCGGAUUUAUUGGGCGUAAAGAGCUCGUAGGCGGUCUGUCGCGUCGGUCGUGAAAACUUGGGGCUUAACCCUGAGCUUGCGGUCGAUACGGGCAUGACUGGAGUUCGGCAGGGGAGACUGGAAUUCCUGGUGUAGCGGUGAAAUGCGCAGAUAUCAGGAGGAACACCGGUGGCGAAGGCGGCUUGCUGGGCCAGUUCUGACGCUGAGGAGCGAAAGCGUGGGGAGCGAACAGG
Molecule: ribosomal RNA, 254 nt
Filed under: uncultured bacterium
Lineage: Bacteria
Description: partial 16S ribosomal RNA
Rfam family: Bacterial small subunit ribosomal RNA
Source: RNAcentral